UACGUAGGUGGCAAGCGUUGUCCGGAUUUACUGGGCGUAAAGGGAGCGUAGGCGGAUAUCUAAGUGGGAUGUGAAAUACCCGGGCUCAACCUGGGUGCUGCAUUCCAAACUGGAUAUCUAGAGUGCAGGAGGGGAAAGUGGAAUUCCUAGUGUAGCGGUGAAAUGCGUAGAGAUUAGGAAGAACACCAGUGGCGAAGGCGACUUUCUGGACUGUAACUGACGCUGAGGCUCGAAAGCGUGGGGAGCAAACAGG
RNAcentral lists this ribosomal RNA (253 nucleotides) under uncultured bacterium. RNAcentral's name for it is "partial 16S ribosomal RNA". It matches the Rfam family "Bacterial small subunit ribosomal RNA", at positions 524 to 776 of the family's 1533-position model. The record is from RNAcentral.